UGAGGAAUAUUGCACAAUGGGCGCAAGCCUGAUGCAGCGACACCGCGUGUGGGAAGAAGGGGCUAGGCCUCGUAAACCACUGUAGCCCGGGACGAAAAACGCGUUAGAGGUGUUAGACGGUACCGGGAAAGUAAGGGUCGGCUAACUACGUGCCAGCAGCCGCGGUAAUACGUAGGACCCAAGCGCUGUCCGGAUUUACUGGGUGUGAAGGGUGCGCAGGCGGAUGGGUAAGUCUGGGGUGAAAGUCUGCAGCUUAACUGUAGAAUUGCGUUUGAUACCGCUUAUCUUGAGUGUGGGAGAGGUGGAUGGAAUUCCGGGUGUAGCAGUGAAAUGCGUAGAUAUCUGGAAGAACACCAGUGGCGAAGGCAGUCAUCUGGCCCAUAACUGACGCUCAUGCACGAAAGCGUGGGGAGCAAACA
This 419-nucleotide ribosomal RNA is filed under the name uncultured bacterium. RNAcentral describes it as "bacterial SSU rRNA". It matches the Rfam family "Bacterial small subunit ribosomal RNA", at positions 355 to 774 of the family's 1533-position model. The record is from RNAcentral.